UUAUUUUUUUUUCUUUAUCUUGUUUCUCCCCCAUUUCAGAGCUGUUUAAAGAAUUUAAAGGUAAACGUUGCCAAUGAUGAUGUCAAGGCAGAGACUUCUCCAUCACCCAAGAGAAAGCCAAUUACCUUCAACAUCAACAAUACCAUUGCCAAACCAUCAAACAGCCCAACGCUCCAUGUCAGUAAGGUAACAUCAAGAGCCGACAGCGUAGCAGACAGGAAGCCAUAUGGACAUUGGGUCCCCAUCAGCAGAUCUUCUUCCAAGAAAUAAUUAACACUGAGAUUCAACAGUGAUGUAAAAAGACUGUAUAUAGUGUAAAUAGUUUGUGUAGAGAUCACUUGGGUGGGGUGGGUUGUUAGGGAACAUCUGAAUUCAUCAUAAACGUUUUCUUUCAGAUAUAAAGUGGGUUUUGUGGAAGAAGGCAAGAGGAUGUCAUACAGGUGGGAAAUAUUGUGUAUUUUUUGGUGUUUUUGUGCUGUACAGUGGAUGUUACUAAAUAAAAAUGCCAAAAAAAAGAAAUAUUUAUUCUCUCAGAAAUUAUAUUAACAAUUUCCUGAGGUAA
RNAcentral lists this long non-coding RNA (562 nucleotides) under Sinocyclocheilus grahami. Its description in RNAcentral is "lncRNA (ENSSGRG00000045668.1)". The record is from RNAcentral. Lineage: Eukaryota; Metazoa; Chordata; Actinopteri; Cypriniformes; Cyprinidae.